This 83-nucleotide transfer RNA is filed under the name Bacillus sonorensis. RNAcentral describes it as "tRNA-Arg". Lineage: Bacteria; Bacillati; Bacillota; Bacilli; Caryophanales; Bacillaceae. The record is from RNAcentral.
GUAGCAUUUAAACCAUUGUUCACGAUUAGGAAAUCUCCUGUAUUUCCGGCACCUGAACCAAGUGCGGAUUUUGAAGUGCUUUU